UAGAAGUCAGGUCGGAUUAAGCCAUAGUACGGAAAAAACUAUGCUACCUGUGAGCCCCGUCCAAGGACGUUAAAAGAAGUCAGGCCAUCACAAAUGCCAUAGCUUGAGUAAACUAUGCUGCCUGUAACUCCACCUGAGAAGGUGUAAAAAAUCUGGGAGGCCACAAACCAUGGAAGCUGUACGCAUGG
This 188-nucleotide long non-coding RNA is filed under the name dengue virus type 2. RNAcentral describes it as "Dengue virus 2 partial sfRNA1". The record is from RNAcentral. Lineage: Riboviria; Orthornavirae; Kitrinoviricota; Flasuviricetes; Amarillovirales; Flaviviridae.